Molecule: ribosomal RNA, 330 nt
Filed under: uncultured eukaryote
Lineage: Eukaryota
Description: partial 18S ribosomal RNA
Rfam family: Eukaryotic small subunit ribosomal RNA
Source: RNAcentral
CCCUUAGAUGUUCGGGGCCGCACGCGCGCUACACUGAAGGAAUCAGCACGUCGUUCUCCUUGUCCGAAAGGACUGGGUAACCCGCUGAACCUCCUUCGUGCUAGGGAUUGGGGCUUGUAAUUCUUCCCCAUGAACGAGGAAUUCCCAGUAAGCGCGAGUCAUAAGCUCGCGUUGAUUACGUCCCUGCCCUUUGUACACACCGCCCGUCGCUACUACCGAUUGGAUGGUUUAGUGAGAUCCUCGGAUUGGUCCCGGCGCGGCCUCUGGUCGUGCCGGAGUGCCGAAAAGAAUGUCGAACUUGAUCAUCUAGAGGAAGUAAAAGUCGUAACA